RNAcentral lists this ribosomal RNA (253 nucleotides) under uncultured bacterium. RNAcentral describes it as "partial 16S ribosomal RNA". It matches the Rfam family "Bacterial small subunit ribosomal RNA", at positions 524 to 776 of the family's 1533-position model. The record is from RNAcentral.
GACAGAGGGUGCAAACGUUGUUCGGAAUUACUGGGCGUAAAGCGUGCGCAGGCGGUUUUGUAAGCCAGAUGUGAAAUCCCCGGGCUUAACCUGGGAAUGGCAUUUGGGACUGCAAGGCUCGAGUGCGGCAGAGGAGACUGGAAUUCCUGGUGUAGCAGUGAAAUGCGUAGAUAUCAGGAGGAACACCGAUGGCGAAGGCAGGUCUCUGGGCUGACACUGACGCUCAUGCACGAAAGCGUGGGGAGCAAACAGG